Lactobacillus jensenii 269-3 is the source of this 48-nucleotide non-coding RNA. Lineage: Bacteria; Bacillati; Bacillota; Bacilli; Lactobacillales; Lactobacillaceae. The record is from Rfam.
GGUUGGAGUUUAAAAGCUUUCAAGAUUUGCUUCUUUGGGUCAAGAAGC